GCCCCCAUCGUCCAUGGGCUAGGACACCGGGUUUUCGCCCCGGGGAACGGAGUUCGAGUCUCCGUGGGGGUA
This 72-nucleotide transfer RNA is filed under the name Streptomyces halstedii. It matches the Rfam family "tRNA". From Rfam's summary of the family: Transfer RNA (tRNA) molecules are approximately 80 nucleotides in length. Their secondary structure includes four short double-helical elements and three loops (D, anti-codon, and T loops). Further hydrogen bonds mediate the characteristic L-shaped molecular structure. tRNAs have two regions of fundamental functional importance: the anti-codon, which is responsible for specific mRNA codon recognition, and the 3' end, to which the tRNAs corresponding amino acid is attached (by aminoacyl-tRNA synthetases). tRNAs cope with the degeneracy of the genetic code in two manners: having more than one tRNA (with a specific anti-codon) for a particular amino acid; and 'wobble' base-pairing, i.e. permitting non-standard base-pairing at the 3rd anti-codon position. The record is from RNAcentral. RNAcentral also lists the same sequence under 1 other name. Lineage: Bacteria; Bacillati; Actinomycetota; Actinomycetes; Kitasatosporales; Streptomycetaceae.